RNAcentral lists this ribosomal RNA (641 nucleotides) under Microbacterium sp. I13A-01650. RNAcentral's name for it is "bacterial SSU rRNA". It matches the Rfam family "Bacterial small subunit ribosomal RNA", at positions 91 to 745 of the family's 1533-position model. The record is from RNAcentral. Lineage: Bacteria; Bacillati; Actinomycetota; Actinomycetes; Micrococcales; Microbacteriaceae.
AUCAGUGGCGAACGGGUGAGUAACACGUGAGCAACCUGCCCCUGACUCUGGGAUAAGCGCUGGAAACGGCGUCUAAUACUGGAUACGAACCACGAAGGCAUCUUCAGUGGUUGGAAAGAUUUAUUGGUUGGGGAUGGGCUCGCGGCCUAUCAGCUUGUUGGUGAGGUAAUGGCUCACCAAGGCGUCGACGGGUAGCCGGCCUGAGAGGGUGACCGGCCACACUGGGACUGAGACACGGCCCAGACUCCUACGGGAGGCAGCAGUGGGGAAUAUUGCACAAUGGGCGCAAGCCUGAUGCAGCAACGCCGCGUGAGGGAUGACGGCCUUCGGGUUGUAAACCUCUUUUAGCAGGGAAGAAGCGAGAGUGACGGUACCUGCAGAAAAAGCACCGGCUAACUACGUGCCAGCAGCCGCGGUAAUACGUAGGGUGCAAGCGUUAUCCGGAAUUAUUGGGCGUAAAGAGCUCGUAGGCGGUUUGUCGCGUCUGCUGUGAAAUCUGGGGGCUCAACCCCCAGCCUGCAGUGGGUACGGGCAGACUAGAGUGCGGUAGGGGAGAUUGGAAUUCCUGGUGUAGCGGUGGAAUGCGCAGAUAUCAGGAGGAACACCGAUGGCGAAGGCAGAUCUCUGGGCCGUAACUGACG